AUUUCGGUCCUGAGUAUAGUGGCGCACGGGUGAGUAACACGUGAAUAAUCUACCUCCGAGUGGGGAAUAACCAAGAGAAAUCUUGGCUAAUACCGCAUAACACUUACGAGUCAAAGCAGCAAUGCGCUUGGAGAGGAGUUCGCGGCAGAUUAGUUAGUUGGCGGGGUAAUGGCCCACCAAGACGAUGAUCUGUAUCCGGCCUGAGAGGGCGCACGGACACACUGGAACUGAAACACGGUCCAGACUCCUACGGGA
This 255-nucleotide ribosomal RNA is filed under the name uncultured Acidobacteriaceae bacterium. RNAcentral describes it as "partial 16S ribosomal RNA". It matches the Rfam family "Bacterial small subunit ribosomal RNA", at positions 77 to 346 of the family's 1533-position model. Lineage: Bacteria; Pseudomonadati; Acidobacteriota; Terriglobia; Terriglobales; Acidobacteriaceae. The record is from RNAcentral.